RNAcentral lists this unclassified non-coding RNA (210 nucleotides) under Hevea brasiliensis (rubber tree). Lineage: Eukaryota; Viridiplantae; Streptophyta; Magnoliopsida; Malpighiales; Euphorbiaceae. The record is from RNAcentral.
AAACUAGGUAUUCUUGUCCCUGUGCAAUAAAUGUGACUGCAGGGCAAUCAGAUGAUCCUAAGAAGUUAGAUAUAGAAGGAUUUAUCAGUGCACUGAUGAAACUGUGGGAUGGUUUUCCUCAGCCAGUAAGGAAUUUUCCAUGGACCAAAGCAGCGAUAAGCUUUUUGCAGCUUAUAUUUGAACUCACUUGGGCAGUUGCAAAGUAUCUCA